RNAcentral lists this ribosomal RNA (253 nucleotides) under uncultured bacterium. RNAcentral describes it as "partial 16S ribosomal RNA". It matches the Rfam family "Bacterial small subunit ribosomal RNA", at positions 524 to 776 of the family's 1533-position model. The record is from RNAcentral.
UACGGAGGGUGCAAGCGUUAUCCGGAUUUGCUGGGUUUAAAGGGUGCGUAGGCGGGCUUUUAAGUCAGUGGUGAAAUCUCCGAGCUUAACUCGGAAAUUGCCAUUGAUACUAUUAGUCUUGAAUUAAGUUGAGGUGGGCGGAAUGUGUCAUGUAGCGGUGAAAUGCUUAGAUAUGACACAGAACACCGAUUGCGAAGGCAGCUCGCUAAACUUAUAUUGACGCUGAGGCACGAAAGCGUGGGGAUCAAACAGG